Molecule: ribosomal RNA, 891 nt
Filed under: uncultured bacterium
Lineage: Bacteria
Description: bacterial SSU rRNA
Rfam family: Bacterial small subunit ribosomal RNA
Source: RNAcentral
AACGAACGCUGGCGGCGUGCCUAACACAUGCAAGUCGAGCGAGAAAGUCCGCAAGGAUGAGUAAAGCGGCGCACGGGUGCGUAACACGUGGGUAAUCUUCCUUGGAGCCCGGAAUAACUCCCCGAAAGGGGUGCUAAUGCCGGAUAAGACCACGGGAUCUUUGGAUCCUGAGGGAAAAGGCGGCCUCUGUACACAAGCUGUCACUUCAAGAUGAGCCCGCGGCCCAUCAGCUAGUUGGCGGGGUAAUGGCCCACCAAGGCAUCGACGGGUAGCUGGUCUGAGAGGACGAUCAGCCACACUGGAACUGAGACACGGUCCAGACUCCUACGGGAGGCAGCAGUGGGGAAUCUUGCGCAAUGGGCGAAAGCCUGACGCAGCAACGCCGCGUGUGUGAUGAAGGUCUUCGGAUCGUAAAGCACUGUCGGGAGGGACGAAUAAGGUGGUGGCUAACAUCCGCCGCUGAUGACGGUACCUCCAAAGGAAGCACCGGCUAACUCUGUGCCAGCAGCCGCGGUAAUACAGAGGGUGCAAGCGUUGUUCGGAAUUAUUGGGCGUAAAGCGCGUGUAGGCGGCCAUGCAAGUUGGGUGUGAAAGCCCUCGGCUUAACCGAGGAAGUGCGCCCAAAACUACAUGGCUUGAGUACCGGAGAGGGUGGCGGAAUUCCCGGUGUAGAGGUGAAAUUCGUAGAUAUCGGGAGGAACACCAGUGGCGAAGGCGGCCACCUGGACGGAUACUGACGCUGAGACGCGAAAGCGUGGGUAGCAAACAGGAUUAGAUACCCUGGUAGUCCACGCUGUAAACGAUGAGCGCUAGGUGUUGUGGGUGUUGACCCCUGCAGUGCCGCAGCUAACGCAUUAAGCGCUCCGCCUGGGAAGUACGGCCGCAAGGCUA